RNAcentral lists this ribosomal RNA (425 nucleotides) under uncultured bacterium. Its description in RNAcentral is "partial 16S ribosomal RNA". It matches the Rfam family "Bacterial small subunit ribosomal RNA", at positions 354 to 796 of the family's 1533-position model. The record is from RNAcentral.
GUGGGGAAUCUUGCGCAAUGGGCGAAAGCCUGACGCAGCCAUGCCGCGUGAAUGAUGAAGGUCUUAGGAUUGUAAAAUUCUUUCACCGGGGACGAUAAAGACGGUACCCGGAGAAGAAGCCCCGGCUAACUUCGUGCCAGCAGCCGCGGUAAUACGAAGGGGGCUAGCGUUGCUCGGAAUUACUGGGCGUAAAGGGCGCGUAGGCGGACAGUUUAGUCAGAGGUGAAAGCCCAGGGCUCAACCUUGGAAUUGCCUUUGAUACUGGCUGUCUUGAGUACGGGAGAGGUGAGUGGAACUCCGAGUGUAGAGGUGAAAUUCGUAGAUAUUCGGAAGAACACCAGUGGCGAAGGCGACUCACUGGCCCGUUACUGACGCUGAGGCGCGAAAGCGUGGGGAGCAAACAGGAUUAGAAACCCCGGUAGUCC